GACGAACGCUGGCGGCGUGCCUAAUACAUGCAAGUUGAGCGCUGAAGGUUGGUACUUGUACCAACUGGAUGAGCAGCGAACGGGUGAGUAACGCGUGGGGAAUCUGCCUUUGAGCGGGGGACAACAUUUGGAAACGAAUGCUAAUACCGCAUAAAAACUUUAAACACAAGUUUUAAGUUUGAAAGAUGCAAUUGCAUCACUCAAAGAUGAUCCCGCGUUGUAUUAGCUAGUUGGUGAGGUAAAGGCUCACCAAGGCGAUGAUACAUAGCCGACCUGAGAGGGUGAUAGGCCACAUUGGGACUGAGACACGGCCCAAACUCCUACGGGAGGCAGCAGUAGGGAAUCUUCGGCAAUGGACGAAAGUCUGAUCGAGCAACGCCGCGUGAGUGAAGAAGGUUUUCGGAUCGUAAAACUCUGUUGGUAGAGAAGAACGUUGGUGAGAGUGGAAAGCUCAUCAAGUGACGGUAACUACCCAGAAAGGGACGGCUAACUACGUG
RNAcentral lists this ribosomal RNA (497 nucleotides) under uncultured bacterium. Its description in RNAcentral is "partial 16S ribosomal RNA". It matches the Rfam family "Bacterial small subunit ribosomal RNA", at positions 28 to 507 of the family's 1533-position model. The record is from RNAcentral.